Long non-coding RNA from Scophthalmus maximus (turbot), 3743 nucleotides. RefSeq lists it as uncharacterized. The record is from RefSeq and is a predicted model, not a curated record. The transcript has 3 exons. NCBI's taxonomy places the organism in Eukaryota, Metazoa, Chordata, Actinopteri, Pleuronectiformes, Scophthalmidae.
GUGUUGUCCUUGGCAAAAGAAAAUUUACUUUAUUUUAGGAGAUUAGUAGCUGUGUGAAGAGAAAUAUUAGCAAUGCUGGCUCAUUUUAUAGAGUGGCUGAAAAGACUAAGCAAAUUUAUUUCUGGUUUGGCUGUGAAAAAAGCAUGUAGCACACUUUCACUGGAUAACAGUGUCUCAGUAUGAAGAGAUAUCUGCUUUGUACAUGGAUGAUAUUAGGAAGUGCCCCAUUACCGAGACAGCUCCUCUUGCCUGCUGGCUUUCCUCUGGAGCAGCUGUCUGUCGGUCACUGUGUCAGUUAGUAAAUCUCUGAAAUACAGAAUGAUAAUGAGCCUGGAGCUUUUGAGGAAGGCCUUGCCCUGAACUCAGCAUUAGACAGAGCUAAGUGACUAGGAUCCCCUACCCCAUCUGGAGAUUGUUUCACACGGUGGGUGGUGUUGCAGACCCUAUUGCAGCCCAAGUUCUGUUGCAGCUGCUGGACUGGACCCAUAAGACAUGACUGAAGAUACUGAUUUGAAUGCGAAGGAUGCAAAGGACGGAGAUGGACCUGGAAGAAAAGAGAGGAGGUUAAACAAACACAAACCUCGUUAAAAUAAACCCCUGCCAACUCCCACUCCCUUUUUUUGUUGAAGGAAUGUGCUGUCAUGCUUCAGAUCCCACACAGAAUUACUACAGGACAGGUAAUGAAUAGAUGCCCACACAGCAACCAGGAAACAAAGAAAAACUGUCUCACUCCCCGAAUGGUAAGGAUGACUGAAUUUCCCACCGCCAGGCUUCCUCAUCAUACAGGACAGUGUAACACACACUUUCAUAUAGUGCCGUGUUUACACACCACGUAUGCACUCACCAUUCAUCUCUUACAGGGCUAUUCACUGCAGGGAGUUUUUAUGACCGUAUAUCUCUCGUACAGUAGAAUUUCAUGUUUUUAUUUAUCUUUAAUUUAUUAUUUAUAAUGCAUCCUACUUCAAAAAAGUACGGUUUCAUAGUAACAAACUAUAUUAUCAACUAGCUAUUUUCUACAAUUACAAUAUUUGUCUCUCCGUUAUCAAUGAUUGUAAGUGGACUGCACUUGUCUUGUGUUUCCGGGUAUUUCAGAGUUCGGCAAAAUUUGAAUCAAAAUGUGACGACAAACCACACUAUACUAUAGAAAUAACUAUGUUGAGGACACUGAACUCAUACUAACCCCUACCUAAAGAUUUUUUUUUUCUGAGCUUUAAGUUAAUUUGUGAUACCAAGCUUUCAGGGCAAGAUCUUAGGAAAGAUGAUACUUUUUAUUGUGCAACAAAAUUAAGUCUUUAAUAAGCUUAAUUAGCUCUCUUUUUAAAUGCCUCUCAUGUGCUUACAGCAUUCUGUGAUGCUUAACAGCCCAGUAAACCAUUUUAAAUGUCAAUUUAACCAACCUGGCAUGUCAUUCUUGUUUGCUUUUUACUGUGUCACAAAAGGGAGCAAGGUGAAGUGAAAGUCAAAGGCAGUGAAAAAGAUUCAAGAGUUGUUUUAUGUCCUAACCCUAACCCAGACGUGGGUUUUAGUUUCUUUAAUAUAUAUAUAUACACCUUUAUUAAAGUUGUGCCAAAUAUCCUUCUUUUUAACUUUAUGUUACCCUUUGGUAAGGCAAUAACAAUUAUUACAACUGUUUCUCAGUUUGAGUAAGUGCAAAUGAUUAACCUGUUCAUGAUAAAUAUGUUAUGGAACAGCAUUUUAAAACAGAUGACAAUGUGUCUGAUCUGCAUUAUAAUAAGUUAAUUUACGAUCAUCAUAAUCAGCCAGAGCUUUUAAGUUUUGGAAAAUGUCCCGACUGUCUAAACCUUAUCGACACUGGACCAUCCCUGUGCCUUUUGAUGUUGCUGCUCUGUUUGUUCACCAGCGCCAGUGGUCUGCUCUCUCCCAUUCAACAAACUGCCUCUUGCUAAAUUCCUCACUCUGACUGGAUCGUAGCAGCAGCAUUGUUUGCAUUUUACACCAGGAGGUGAGAAACAUGCAGUCUCAGUCACACCUCUCUAGCCACGAUCCCUGGCUGCAGAGGUCUUUCUGCAGAGAUCAGGUGUGACUUUUCACCUUCAUUCAAAUACAGCCUGGGCUCUAUUAAACUCAAGCCCUGUUGUCACUAUGACAUUCAUUGUGAAAGUGAACCAAAAAUUCCUGUUUUGGGCGUCUAUCGUGUAUUUUCCCGUUUCACCUCUGGUUAAAAUUUGAUGGAGUAAAAAAAGGCUGUAAAUGCAGUUGCAAGGACAAUACUUCACACGCAUAUCAAAUAUGUCGUAGUCAAUGAAGUAUAUAGUCUUCAGUUGGUAGAUCCAACAGCAGGAGAAGCUUUGGUGUGUCUCACCGCAGUCACAGCAGGGUCUUGGGAGUGCCGAGACUAGGGGUGGAAAUCCUUAUAUUUAGUGUAUCUUUGAAUCGUGAAAGAGAAUCGCGAUGCAUCUAAGAAUCGAUUAUUUCUCCCACCCCAGCUGAGACUGUGAUAAAGCACAUCCACAUCUUCUCUGCUUGCUCAGAUUAUUUUUGGAGCUGUGUCAGAUCAAUAGAUAGGUACUUUGUUGAUCGCAAACAUCACCCACACCAUGAUCCUGGACUGCGCCACUGCCACAACCCAAGAGAGAGACAGAAUUGCCACCGUAGCCUUUCUGAGAGAAAGCAACAGUCGCCAUCAGUUUCCCCAGGGUAUAUGCCACCGAAGUCAGAUGGGGACAGAGAGUGGGAAGAAUGUGUCCACACAGGGAGAAGUUUGGUUUCCUGAUGGCCGUGGAAGUCACCCAGCAUGUCAUUGGAAAACAGGCGCAGGAGGCUCUGGUGAAAGCUGAAUAUUUUUCUCAAGACCUCAUCAAGAGAGUGGGUGAGGAGGUCCUGGAAAAGAACUGAAAAGGCAAGCAGAUGGAUAGAAGGUGAUUCGGAUGGGGCCAUCAUUCUGCUGCAAUAGAGUCAAAUAAGUCUUGUUUUCACUGUCAGACUCCAACCAAGAGGAAUCUUGCUGUCUAGGCCUUGUGAGUCCAAGAUAUCCAGUGCCUCCUCAAUGGUGAAGAUAGGAAGCUUUGCCCAGAUGUCAUCAUCAUGAUCAUCAUUAUCACCAUUGUCCUCCUGAAUAGCCACACAGGCAUUCGUUCAUUGUUGCUUCUCUGCUGUGGGCAAAUAUGACAUGGAAGAGCAUGUAGCAGUGAUGGCCAGGCCGCCAUGUUCUGGGUCAAGGCAUGACUAACAGCAGGAGGAGCAGAAACAGACAUUGCUGGCAGAACACUGAGAAACAUCUUCAGAGAUAACUCAAUAAAGCACAAUGAAGAAAAAAUGUCACAGAAGUGUUAUAUACUGUAAAUGCAGACUUAAAUGGGGUGCAGUGCUGGGCAGAGGGCGAUAAAAAAGGCUUGGUGUGGUGCACGUGCUGUUAUCGCCCCAUCUGACAUAAUAGAAUAUAUUUAGGGAAUAUAUUGGUUACUGGUGACCACGGCCAGUCCAGCCAAAAAAGUCCCCCUCUAUUCACAAAGGUGUUCGGUAUGUUUACCUUGUGUAUGUGUCAGGUUUUAUCUGACACCACAACAAAUUUGGAAGCCAAUCAAUAGUCUAAUAUGCAGCUUAUACAUGUGGUGUGAAUACUUGAAUCGCAUUCACAUACACUGAGAAAGGGCUUUUCAGUUGACCAGGAGAAAUCUUUUGUUACAAUCUGUACUUUCAAUGAGGGAACAGGAUUACAUAUAAUUUUAAAGAUUUUCUUGGAUUAUCUUUUCUGUGGAGAAAUCAUAUCAGAGUAUUUAUUA